CUUUAGAGGACUCUCUUACUUGGAGAUCCCUCCUUCUGGAGUAUUCAGGGAGCCCUGAUCCUUGGGGCAGUUUCCACUUCGGCUGUAUCAGGACUGAAACUGAGAUUCAGUCUCUCUAUCACUGUGUUUUAGAGCCCAAUCAGCAAAACUGGAGCAAGCUCCAAUGUUCGUUAAUUUUCCUUGAGGUUGUUGAAAUCCAGUCUUGGCUGUACCAGGCUCAGAGAGAGAUUGCUGAUUCAAAGCUUGGAUGUAAGCCUGCACCCGAUCAACCCAAAUGGCUGGGAAUCAUCUGCGCCUUGACUUAAAUGAGACUUCUGUCAGACAACCGGGCAACCACUUUAGCAGUGCAGCUGUGACUCUGCGAUGCUAAGUGAUGUUCACAAUUGGCAGCUCUGGCCUAGAGCCCAUGGCAUGGGAGGGACUUUGUCCAACGUGAAAUGAGUCUUUGGUGGAAGGCAGGAAACUUCAAGAAGUUAAUUCCUCACCUCAGCAACAGCUUCAUCUCUUAGGUUUCUUCACAGCCUAUGAGAAACACCCUUUUGGUAGCAGAUAGAAGGUGCUUUACAGAAGAAAGAACAAGGAAGGGCAUGGC
This 592-nucleotide long non-coding RNA is filed under the name Gallus gallus (chicken). RNAcentral describes it as "lncRNA (ENSGALG00010018132.1)". The record is from RNAcentral. Lineage: Eukaryota; Metazoa; Chordata; Aves; Galliformes; Phasianidae.